Long non-coding RNA from Nomascus leucogenys (northern white-cheeked gibbon), 1117 nucleotides. RefSeq lists it as uncharacterized. The transcript is spliced from 2 exons. The record is from RefSeq and is a predicted model, not a curated record. Lineage: Eukaryota; Metazoa; Chordata; Mammalia; Primates; Hylobatidae.
AUUAAAACACGUAAAGGUCUCAUUACAAUAUUUGAGCAAGGGGCCCUGGCCUCCAGUCUGAGUGCUGACCUCGAAGAGCCCCUGAGUGAGGAGGAGACAGAACACCCUCUCCUGCCUCUGCCCCGAGCCACUAAACCCAGAAUCUCCAGGAAAUUUCGUUGCUGUACUAGUGCCCUCAGCAGGUCUUCCCAUUAGUGGACUUCUGAAGCCCAUGGUGAAUCCCACUACAGUGUCUCAGAUGGGACUCAAACUAGGCUAUAUCAUCUUGUCCUGAAACCUCACAAACCUUGGACUUCCAAAGAAGAAACGAAAAAGUCACCAAAAACCAGAGAUGAACCCACUGACACAUGGGCAUUGGUGUGCCUGCCCUGGGCAGAUCACAGCAGGAAAAGAUUCUGCGCUUUCAGGGAGGGGGCAGAGGGCAGCUGGCUUCUGUACCUCAAGUUGUUUCUUCUCAUUUAUGAACCCAAGCAUGAUUCACAAAGGGGCUGGCAAAACCAUUGUCUGAUUGAGGAAUGUGAUCGGCAUUGAUUUUGCUAGUUCCUUUUAUGUUAGGAUUUGUGGUUUACUCAAAAAUUUCAUCAUCAUGGAAAUUGGCUUUCCCCAGGGUCUUUUGCCCAGGAGAAGUUUUACCUCAGUUGUCCAGUGUUUUCCCACAUGGUACCUGACGUCCGCUAACUGAGCAGAGAUUCUCCUCACCACGCAGAGGCCCUUCAGGUCAUGACAGUGAUGCCCCUAUCUUAGAACACUCAGAAGAUUCCAGAAAUACAGGGUCCUGUCCUUGCAUAAGUUCCUGCAGGACAGGAAGCGUCCCAGGGCUCAAAACAGCACAGACCACAUCCACACAAAAGGUGCAUGCCAGCUUCGGGCACUAGGCUGAGACGGGCACCCCUCGAAUGGCCUUGUGCCUCUAAAAGCCUCACGCUGCAACUUUGCUGCUCCUGUCUGUUGCCCAGAGAGGCCUCAUACAGGCCUCAGAAAUGUUUCUUGUCACACAAAGCUUUAGGUAGCAGAUUCCAAGCAAGGGAUUUAAUCCUUACAUUUUUGCCCAUUUGGCUCCAAGGAAGGCUCAUUAGACCUGGUUUUUUUGUUUUUUUCUUUAAAAAAAAAAAAAAAA